This 484-nucleotide ribosomal RNA is filed under the name uncultured bacterium. RNAcentral describes it as "partial 16S ribosomal RNA". It matches the Rfam family "Bacterial small subunit ribosomal RNA", at positions 30 to 507 of the family's 1533-position model. The record is from RNAcentral.
AUUGAACGCUGGCGGCAGGCCUAACACAUGCAAGUCGAGCGGAUGAAGGGAGCUUGCUCCUGGAUUCAGCGGCGGACGGGUGAGUAAUGCCUAGGAAUCUGCCUGGUAGUGGGGGAUAACGUCCGGAAACGGGCGCUAAUACCGCAUACGUCCUGAGGGAGAAAGUGGGGGAUCUUCAGACCUCACGCUAUCAGAUGAGCCUAGGUCGGAUUAGCUAGUUGGUGGGGUAAAGGCCUACCAAGGCGACGAUCCGUAACUGGUCUGAGAGGAUGAUCAGUCACACUGGAACUGAGACACGGUCCAGACUCCUACGGGAGGCAGCAGUGGGGAAUAUUGGACAAUGGGCGAAAGCCUGAUCCAGCCAUGCCGCGUGUGUGAAGAAGGUCUUCGGAUUGUAAAGCACUUUAAGUCGGGAGGAAGGGCAGUAAGUUAAUACCUUGCUGUUUUGACGUUACCAACAGAAUAAGCACCGGCUAACUUCGUG